CACUCUUUCCCAGUCUCCUUCAAAUUACUUUAUUGCUUCCUGUCAACUAGCCGAGCAUAUCCUGUUAAUAUACAAUCCCCAACGAACAGUUUUCACAGCAUAAUCCCCCUUUGUCAGAUAACGCAGCUCACCUCCCAGUGGAUGGCCCCAUUCUGGGCAUCUUGGGAUGCAGGAUCCUGGGAGCAGACAGACCUUGGACGGCUUUUGUCUGCACGCCGCGCGCACCUUGCUCCAUGUCCUCGCAUCUCCCUUCGCGUGCUCCUCUUCAGAACAACCCAGACAUGCUGUUUCCUUUUCAUCCUCCGUCGUGAAAGAAGAUGUGGUUCCUCCUUCAGCUCCUGCCCUCUCACAAUAAUCACCUCUUAGCAGAAAAGAGCCAUUUCACAACACGCCGUUGUCUUUGAUCCUAUGUUUGCUUUCUCGUCAAUAUACACUAUCUCAGGGUCUUGCUCAUGAGUGCCCUGAACAUAAGACAUACUAUUACAUUUUUUCAUAGAGUUCAUAAGCAUUUGCAAAACUCCUGCUUUUAACACCAGCAAUGACAAAAAACAGGUCGUUUUCUCCCCAGUUUCCCAUUAAAUGUCAUUUCAGCAUUUUCAAUUUCGAGGGUGCCACCCUGUAAUUUCACAGUAUUAACCAGAGACCUGAGUUUGACUUUUCAGCUCUUCUGCCUUCCUUUGAGCAACUUUAAAACUAUUUUCCAAAAGAUUUCUGGGCUGUGGAUGCCCUGCAAGAGUUACAUCCUUCUCUUUUAUGCAUCUCUAAAAAGAUGCCUUUAUAAGAUUCUCCUCCUUUAUAUAAACUUUUCAGGGGGGGAAGGUUUGACAUAUUUGCAGCCCCGAAGGAGAUGACUUUACAACCUUUAUCUUUCCAAAUGUUCCUUUGUCAACAGCGAGCAUGCAGCCAUGAUCAGGUAAUUUCUGCAGGAUCUCAUAUAAGGUUGACUUGGCUCUGCCUGUCACUGUAAUUUGGUGUCAAAUUAGCUGUUGAGCAAAAUACCCAAAGUUUCCUACCCGAUUCCAGCUUUCUAAAUCUGUUUUAAAUGCUUCAAAAGUGCCUCUUCUCUUUAAUUUGUUCCCAUGGAUACCAUUCAGAAGUUCCAUUCAUUUUAGGCGUGCAACCCUCUUCAAAUCUUUAUCACAAUCUACCAGUUGACUUCUGCUUCCUAAAUUAACCGAAGGCUCUAAAAUCUAAGGCAACAGCAACAGAAACCAAGGUACCUUUUGCUCAUUGCUCUCUGCAGCCACACUUUUCCCUCUGCAGAGAUGAAAUCCCACGGCUCUGUGCAUCCCUGGGGUGCCGGUGCAGGAUGAUGCUCAGGUCACCCAUGCCAUCCUCUUGCCUUCCUCCCUUCUGCUUCUCCUCAUCAGCUCCACUUCUGGUCCCAGGUAGCAUCAAAACUCACAGCGUGCACGUAUCAUUUAACAGCAGAGCUCAGAAAUGCCGAAGGAGCGCUGAAGGGAGCUGCUUCCUCCGUUAGGACCCCACAACAAGCCAAACGGGUUGAGCAAGAACAGCUUCCAGUGUCACAUUUCAGCACAAGGCACCCAACUCCAGCUAUCUGCGCCGAGCUCGCUCACAGCCUUGUCUUGCUUGAGCUCUGCCAGAAGCCCCCAGUGGGGUGGGGACCCACAGUGCUCUGCUUGGAUGGGGCUGGAGCCCCCCCGAUCCCCUAAAUGUACUCUGGGAGCAGGGCUGGAAGGGAGCACCCUGCUUAAUGUGCCCUUACCAUACAGGUCAGUGGAUGGGUCAGGGCAGCCCUGGUAGCCUGGGGCAUCCUUGCUGCUCACCU
This 1792-nucleotide long non-coding RNA is filed under the name Meleagris gallopavo (turkey). RNAcentral's name for it is "lncRNA (ENSMGAG00000020441.1)". Lineage: Eukaryota; Metazoa; Chordata; Aves; Galliformes; Phasianidae. The record is from RNAcentral.